RNAcentral lists this ribosomal RNA (400 nucleotides) under uncultured bacterium. Its description in RNAcentral is "partial 16S ribosomal RNA". The record is from RNAcentral.
ACGGGCGGAGUGUACAAGGCCCGGGAACGUAUUCACCGCGACAUUCUGAUUCGCGAUUACUAAGCGAUUCCAGCUUCAUGUAGUCGAGUUGCAGACUACAAUCCGAACUGAGACGUUAUUUUUGAGAUUUGCUCGGCCUCGCGGCUCUGCCUCCCUUUGUUUACGCCAUUGUAGCACGUGUGUAGCCCUGCCCAUAAGGGGCAUGAUGAUUUGACGUCAUCCCCACCUUCCUCCAGGUUAUCCCUGGGCAGUCUCUCCAGAAGUGCCCAGCCGAACUGCUGGCUACUGAAGAUAAGGGUUGCGCUCGUUGCGGGACUUAANCCAACAUCUCACGAAACGAGCUGGACGAAAACCAAGCACCAACUGUCUCCGGAUNGCUCCCAAAGAGAAGGGAACAUUA